Molecule: transfer RNA, 85 nt
Filed under: Agitococcus sp.
Lineage: Bacteria; Pseudomonadati; Pseudomonadota; Gammaproteobacteria; Moraxellales; Moraxellaceae
Description: tRNA-Tyr
Rfam family: tRNA
About the family: Transfer RNA (tRNA) molecules are approximately 80 nucleotides in length. Their secondary structure includes four short double-helical elements and three loops (D, anti-codon, and T loops).
Source: RNAcentral
GGAGGGGUUGGGGAGUGGUCAAACCCAUGAGACUGUAAAUCUCCCGCCUUAGGCUUCGAAGGUUCGAAUCCUUCCCCCUCCACCA